RNAcentral lists this ribosomal RNA (431 nucleotides) under uncultured prokaryote. RNAcentral describes it as "bacterial SSU rRNA". It matches the Rfam family "Bacterial small subunit ribosomal RNA", at positions 355 to 796 of the family's 1533-position model. The record is from RNAcentral.
UCGAGAAUCUUCCGCAAUGGGCGAAAGCCUGACGGAGCGACACCGCGUGCAGGAUGACGGCCUUCGGGUUGUAAACUGCUGUCACGCUAUAGGAAAGCCUUCGGGUUGACCAAAGCGAGAGGAAGCACCGGCUAACUCCGUGCCAGCAGCCGCGGUAAGACGGAGGGUGCAAACGUUGUUCGGAAUCACUGGGCAUAAAGCGCACGUAGGCGGUUCACUAAGUCGAAUGUGAAAGCCCCCGGCUCAACCGGGGAACUGCAUCCGAUACUGGUGGACUCGAGGGUGGUUGGGGUAAGUGGAACUCCUGGUGGAGCGGUGAAAUGCGUAGAUAUCAGGAGGAACACCAGUGGCGAAAGCGGCUUACUGGACCACUCCUGACGCUGAGGUGCGAAAGCUAGGGUAGCGAACGGGAUUAGAUACCCCCGUAGUCC